Non-coding RNA from Schistosoma rodhaini, 45 nucleotides. Lineage: Eukaryota; Metazoa; Platyhelminthes; Trematoda; Strigeidida; Schistosomatidae. The record is from Rfam.
AUCCAACUGACAAGUCCCAAAUAAAACGAAGUGAGCGUCCUGGAU